Non-coding RNA from Doryrhamphus excisus (bluestripe pipefish), 776 nucleotides. Lineage: Eukaryota; Metazoa; Chordata; Actinopteri; Syngnathiformes; Syngnathidae. The record is from RefSeq and is a predicted model, not a curated record.
GUUAUUGCCAAAUUGCUUUCAUUAUAAUUUCAACCUGUGUUAUACUAGCAACUUACUCCACGGAGUCUUCCUGGGCAGAUGCCACAAGCUGACUUGGGGGCUUUGCCAACCUUCUUGGUGUAGAGGUACACAAUGCGGUUACCAGGCGUCCGGGACCUGCAAGAAACCAAUGGGGAAAUGUCACACACUGUUGCGUGCUGCAGACUCCAAUCGUUCUCCGAGCCGCCAUACCUGCUGUCGCCGCGACCGGAAGAGGAAGAGCGAAGACUGAAGGGGAAUGUUUAAGCGACCAGGCGAUGCCAGGAUGACAUCAGAGCGGAAUGAAAUAUUUUUCCAGUGGAGCUCCGCCCCUUCCCUUUUUUUCCCUUCCUGUUUUGUCAUCCAAGCUGGUGCAUAUUUCGACCCCGUCUGUCCUACUUGCACCAGUGGGGCAGAUGACAUCAGGAUUAACCUUUUGAUGUAUCCUGUCUCAGAGCCAUUUUCCCUCGCACAUAAGAUUGUGGUAGCCCCUCCCUUCACACGGGCAUGAAAUAUUGAAUGUCCAUUUUCAGGGAGUCAGAGGUCAUAAAGACGUGGCAGUGUCUUCUUUGAUGUGAACUGAAGGAUGGAGAAACCAGGUGGAUACUUUUGCUGUUUUUGUCCUUUUAAAGACAGAUGGUCACAAGAUGCAUAUUCUCAGAAUUUAGUGGAGACUGUGGCACCCAAAUAAUGUUUGUUAGAGAGUGUUAAAGGUCCAAUAUUAGUAUUUUUCAAUCACUUUAAAGAAUUGUCAGAGA